AUUGAACGCUGGCGGAAUGCUUUACACAUGCAAGUCGAACGGCAGCACGGACUUCGGUCUGGUGGCGAGUGGCGAACGGGUGAGUAAUGUAUCGGAACGUGCCCAGUCGUGGGGGAUAACGUAGUGAAAAUUACGCUAAUACCGCAUACGAUCUAUGGAUGAAAGCGGGGGAUCGCAAGACCUCGCGCGAUUGGAGCGGCCGAUAUCAGAUUAGGUAGUUGGUGGGGUAAAGGCCCACCAAGCCAACGAUCUGUAGCUGGUCGGAGAGGACGCGCGGCCACAGUGGAACUGAGACACGGUCCAUACUCCUCCGGGAGGCAGCAGUGGGGAAUUUUGGACAAUGGGCGAAAGCCUGAUCCAGCCAUUCCGCGUGCAGGAUGAAGGCCCUCGGGUUGUAAACUGCUUUUGUACAGAACGAAAAGGUUUCUACUAAUACUAGGAGCUCAUGACGGUACUGUAAGAAUAAGCACCGGCUAACUACGUGCCAGCAGCCGCAGUAA
RNAcentral lists this ribosomal RNA (500 nucleotides) under uncultured bacterium. Its description in RNAcentral is "partial 16S ribosomal RNA". It matches the Rfam family "Bacterial small subunit ribosomal RNA", at positions 30 to 523 of the family's 1533-position model. The record is from RNAcentral.